CAUUUGUUGACUGAAGCAAAUUAAAAUGGUCUCUACACACAAAUGCUUGUUUUUCACAUUUCUUUGUCUUGCUCUUCUUUUUAAUCAAGGUCUUGCGACAAGAGAGAUAUUUUCUACAAAAAACAAGACUAUGUUUGCGAUGAAGGAUGGCGAUUCAGCCGAUCCAUGUGGAGAGAUAACGAGCUGCGACCAAAAAUGUUUCGACCAAGAUUUCCCUAAAGGAGGAUUGUGCUUAGCAUCUACUGGUGAUGCAUCUACAUUUCUCUGCCUUUGUAAAAUUUAAAUUUGUUUGCAACUUUCAACUUUUCUAAUUAUAAUAAAAUAAAAGUUAUAAGAAACUUA
Long non-coding RNA from Camelina sativa (false flax), 342 nucleotides. RefSeq lists it as uncharacterized. NCBI's taxonomy places the organism in Eukaryota, Viridiplantae, Streptophyta, Magnoliopsida, Brassicales, Brassicaceae. The record is from RefSeq and is a predicted model, not a curated record.